This 545-nucleotide ribosomal RNA is filed under the name Mucor fragilis. RNAcentral's name for it is "eukaryotic LSU rRNA". The stretch from base 224 to 376 matches the Rfam family "5.8S ribosomal RNA". Lineage: Eukaryota; Fungi; Mucoromycota; Mucoromycetes; Mucorales; Mucoraceae. The record is from RNAcentral.
CGGAAGGAUCAUUAAAUAAUCAAUAAUUUUGGCUUGUCCAUCAUUAUCUAUUUACUGUGAACUGUAUUAUUACUUGACGCUUGAGGGAUGUUCCAAUGCUAUAAGGAUAGGCACUGGAAAUGUUAACCGAGUCAUAAUCAAGCUUAGGCUUGGUAUCCUAUUAUUAUUUACCAAAAGAAUUCAGAAUUAAUAUUGUAACAUAGACGUAAAAAAUCUAUAAAACAACUUUUAACAACGGAUCUCUUGGUUCUCGCAUCGAUGAAGAACGUAGCAAAGUGCGAUAACUAGUGUGAAUUGCAUAUUCAGUGAAUCAUCGAGUCUUUGAACGCAACUUGCGCUCAUUGGUAUUCCAAUGAGCACGCCUGUUUCAGUAUCAAAACAAACCCUCUAUCCAACUUUUGUUGAAUAGGAUGACUGAGAGUCUCUUGAUCUAUUUUGAUCUUGAACCUCUUGAAAUGUACAAAGGCCUGAUCUUGUUUGAAUGCCUGAACUUUUUUUUAAUAUAAAGAGAAGCUCUUGCGAUAAAACUGUGCUGGGGCCUCCCA